CAGAGUUGCAAAACUCCCUAAACCAUUGUGAACGUUACCUAUACCGUUGCUAUCGGCGGGCGGCCUCGGGGUUUACCCCCCGGGCGUCCCUGGGCCCCACCGCGGGCGCCCGCCGGAGGUCACCAAACUCUUGAUAAUUUAUGGCCUCAUCUGAGUCUUCUGUACUGAAUAAGUCA
Molecule: unclassified non-coding RNA, 176 nt
Filed under: soil metagenome
Description: partial internal transcribed spacer 1
Source: RNAcentral